This 228-nucleotide ribosomal RNA is filed under the name uncultured bacterium. Its description in RNAcentral is "partial 16S ribosomal RNA". It matches the Rfam family "Bacterial small subunit ribosomal RNA", at positions 103 to 334 of the family's 1533-position model. The record is from RNAcentral.
CGGGUGAGUAAUACAUCGGAACGUGUCUUCUAGUGGGGGAUAACUGCCCGAAAGGGCAGCUAAUACCGCAUGAGACCUGAGGGUGAAAGCGGGGGAUCGCAAGACCUCGCGCUGGAAGAGCGGCCGAUGUCCGAUUAGCUAGUUGGUGAGGUAAAGGCUCACCAAGACGACGAUCGGUAGCUGGUCUGAGAGGACGACCAGCCACACUGGGACUGAGACACGGCCCAG